RNAcentral lists this ribosomal RNA (375 nucleotides) under uncultured bacterium. RNAcentral describes it as "bacterial SSU rRNA". It matches the Rfam family "Bacterial small subunit ribosomal RNA", at positions 521 to 896 of the family's 1533-position model. The record is from RNAcentral.
UAAGACAGAGGGGGCAAGCGUUGCUCGGAAUCACUGGGCGUAAAGGGCGCGUAGGCGGGAUGGCAAGUCAGUCGUGAAAUCUCUCGGCUCAACCGAGAAACGUCGGCUGAUACUGCCGUUCUUGAGGGAUGCAGAGGAGACUGGAAUUCCCGGUGUAGCGGUGAAAUGUGUAGAGAUCGGGAGGAACACCGGUGGCGAAGGCGGGUCUCUGGGCAUUUCCUGACGCUGAGGCGCGAAAGCGUGGGGAGCAAACGGGAUUAGAUACCCUGGUAGUCCACGCCGUAAACGAUGGAUGCUAGCCGUUGGCAGGCUUGCCUGUCAGUGGCGCAGCUAACGCAUUAAGCAUCCCGCCUGGGGAGUACGGUCGCAAGAUUA